UGAUAUUGAAUACAAUUACUCCAAUACAUACAAUCAACCGCAAGAAAAGAAAAGGAUGCUCCCCUAGUUGCUUGAAUCAUAUAAUGGAGAUAACAGAGAGAGAGGGAGUGAAUAGAGAAAUGAAAGAUUAGGGAUGAAAGAAGUACAGAGAGAGAGAGAGAUCAGAAAGAUUAAAAAAGAGAAGGAAGGAAUUUAUCAGGAAUGUCUUAAAA
RNAcentral lists this long non-coding RNA (212 nucleotides) under Capsicum annuum. RNAcentral's name for it is "long non-coding RNA (CANN_LNC006473)". The record is from RNAcentral. Lineage: Eukaryota; Viridiplantae; Streptophyta; Magnoliopsida; Solanales; Solanaceae.